ACGGGGUGCAGCAGGCGCGAAACCUUCGCAAUGCGCGCAAGCGCGACGAGGUUAUUCCGAGUGAUUUCCGCUGAGGAAAUCUUUUCUCAGAUCUAAAAUGUCUGAGGAAUAAGGGGAGGGCAAGUCUGGUGUCAGCCGCCGCGGUAAUACCAGCUCCUCGAGUGGUCAGGGCGUUUAUUGGGCCUAAAGCAUCCGUAGCCGGCUCAGUAGGUCUCCUGUUAAAUCCAACGGCUCAACUGUUGGUCUGCAGGAGAUACCACUGGGCUAGGAGGCGGGAGAGGCGGACGGUACUCCGAGGGUAGGGGUAAAAUCCUUUGAUCCCCGGAAGACCACCAGUGGCGAAGGCGGUCCGCCAGAACGCGCUCGACGGUGAGGGAUGAAAGCUGGGGGAGCGAACCGGAUUAGAUACCCGGGUAGUCCCAGCUGUAAACGAUGCGAGCUAGGUGACACAAGGCCUUCGGGGCCUUGUGGUGCCGCAGGGAAGCCGUUAAGCUCGCCGCCUGGGGAGUACGGACGCAAGUCUGAAACUUAAAGGAAUUGGCGGGGGAGCAC
This 552-nucleotide ribosomal RNA is filed under the name uncultured archaeon. Its description in RNAcentral is "bacterial SSU rRNA". It matches the Rfam family "Archaeal small subunit ribosomal RNA", at positions 325 to 879 of the family's 1478-position model. The record is from RNAcentral.